CCUGAGUCGAAUAGACACUAGUUAGCUGGUGUUAUUAUCUAGUUGACAAAAACUUGGAUUAUCUUUGAAUCUUCUACCUGGAGUAACAUCUGUCCAUUGGAAUGAAGGUACUCUCUCUUCCCAUGGACUCCUUCCUGCUGAGCAUUCACCUACAGUGUGGGCACCAUGAACUAAACCAAGGAGAGCUGAAUGACUUCCUUCCCUCAUACUCUCUCUUAUAACUCUAAGAAAUGGACCUGAAGGCAUUUAUUUCUGUUUUGUGCUGUUUGUCCUGCUCACUUUCAGGUGCCAGGGAUGAUUCCCAUGAGACCCAGCAGUUCAAAUCAUGAAGACCUUGGAGCCAGGAUUGCAAGCAGGAUGUCAGGGAAGCCCUGAUAAAACAGGGUGCCUGAGACUUGAGCCUAAGGGGAGUUUUAUAUUUGGAAAUAAGACUGCUCUAUGGGAAGUGAGCUAAACUAUUAACUUAUCCCCAUUCCCUUCCCCUCCCCAGAGAUUGAGGUGGUACAAGAAGGGAAAGGGAUUAUGCCUCACAUGUGUUGGAAAGUUAAUAUAUUUGUGAUUAUAUCUUUGAGUAAAUA
This is a long non-coding RNA of Trichosurus vulpecula (common brushtail), 578 nucleotides long. RefSeq lists it as uncharacterized. The transcript has 2 exons. The record is from RefSeq and is a predicted model, not a curated record. Lineage: Eukaryota; Metazoa; Chordata; Mammalia; Diprotodontia; Phalangeridae.